Molecule: ribosomal RNA, 407 nt
Filed under: uncultured bacterium
Lineage: Bacteria
Description: partial 16S ribosomal RNA
Rfam family: Bacterial small subunit ribosomal RNA
Source: RNAcentral
AUUGAACGCUGGCGGCAGGCUUAACACAUGCAAGUCGAGCGGUGCAGCGGACGGGUGAGUAAUGCCGAGGAAUCUGUCUGGCAGUGGCGGAUCACGUCCGGAGCCUGGCGCUAAUACCGCAAACUGGCUGCCGAGACUAGGUGGGAUUACCUAGUUGGUGGGUUAAAGGCCUACCAAGGCUACGAUCCGUAUCUGGGCUGAGAGGAUGUGCAGUCACACUGGAACUGAGACGCGGCCCAGACUCCUACGGGAGGCAGCAGUGGGGAAUAUUCGACAAUGGGCGAAGGCCUAAUCCAGACAUGCCGCGUAUGUGAAGAAGGUAUGCGGAUUGGAAACCAAUUUUAGUUUGGAAGCGUUACCAGCAGAAUAAGCAUCGGCUAACUUCGUGCCAGCAGCCGCGGUAAUUC